ACCUCCAAAAUCUCACUUUGAAUUAAAAACCCUAAAAAUUGAUGUUUAUAAUUCCAAGACCAAGAACGUGCCUUAAAACCUUACAAUAAUGUAACAGAAGGUAUCAUAAACAUAAAACCUAAUAGGAGUAUUUAUAUAUACAAAAUAAAUCAUAUCCUAAAAUAUGUAGGAGAAAUAGAUCGUCAUAUUUCUACCAAUCAUAGACCGGAGCUGUGGACAGUCUAGUAAUAAUGGAUUAGAGUCAUGGAACUCAAACUCUUUUCCACUGAUUUAGUCUACAAAUUGUAGACCCAGUCCAUGAGUCGUAGAACUCAUUCAUGGGAAUCAAACUUGAUUUUCUAUAACUUUUCAUUUACGAGUUGGUUCACUAGUUGUAGACCAAAUCUACCAGUCGUAGACCCUACCCAUGGAAUUUAAAAUUUUACUUUUUCCAUCAGUGUUUUAUUCAUGAGCCUGUUUGAUAGUUUGUGGAUGCUUCCAUGACCCAUGGAUGCUUUUCACGACUCUUCCCUUGGUCAAUUUUGAUCUCUUUUUCUAGAUUUUGCUUUUGAACCUUAUUCUCCUGUACAAUACCAAAAUAUCAAAUCAUGCCUACCAAAAAUACCUAAGUUCUUGCAUAUUUUCCUAUUAAGUAUCAAAAGUGCAAUGAAACCGUGACAAAUCAACACUCUUAACUUAGAACAUUUUCAUGCCCUCAGGAAUACAAAAUAAAACAAACACAUACAAUUUUUAACUCAAAGAAACCUAAGGGACAUGCGACAAUCAAUUCAUUGCUUUUAACACAAAAUUUUAACCCCCUCCUAUAAAAAAAAUUCAAACCCAUCGUCUGUUUAUAUGUAGCAUAUUACCAUGACACAAAAAAGAUCGAGCGAUGGCUUUAGAUUAUGAACAAACAACCAAGAAUAUAUGCAAUUGACAUUACCCAAAUAAAUAACAGCUAACAAUGUAACCCAUGUACACUUACAACAAUAAAGGCCUAUAAACUCAUAGUAUAAUCAUGAAUAUCAACAUAAGGACUGAAACAAAGUGAUCACUCUCACAAAUAAGUUCAAAUAGCAUGUUUGAAAUUCCAAAAUCUUGCCUUCAUUUUCUACACCUUAGUUUUUCGAAUAAUUGGACUAGGAUCACUAUAGGACUUUCAUCGGUUUAUAAUGUAGGCUUGGGAAUAGGUAUGGUAAAUAUGGAUAAGGUGACUCGACCCUUCUUGAUGUUGCACUAUUUUUUGGCUCCACUUUGUGAUAUUACUCAUUUUAUUCUCCUUUAUUUUUCUUCACUUUUCUUCAGAUUUUGGAUAUGAUUUUCUCUUUACACUUUCUAUUUUUUUCUUUUCUUUUUUUUUUCUUUUGAAACCUUCAUUCAUCAUAACUUUUUUUCCUUACCACGUCCAAAUCAAUUAUUUUUAUUUUACUAAAUUCAUCUUCAUAACCAUACCAACCUACGCACCCCUAUGAUAGCCACCUUCAACUUAAAAAAAUUUUCUGAGUUGUGGUACAUAAUAUCAAAGGAGGCUACACGGCAAAGACAGGUUAAUUGUAAGUAUAAUUGGGAAGGUAAGUAGGCUAAUGAAAGAAAAUGGUCAAUUAAGGCUCAAAUUUGGGUCAAGGAAUACUUAUUUCAUUUGGUAGAAUAUUUAGGCUAAAAGUGAAAUUAUUCAAGAAUGGCCUAUGAUCUUUUCCUAACCAACUAUCCUACAACCUAGUCAAGACUAACUAGGAAAGCUAUGGAUUACACCCACAAAGUAAACUCGGUAAGCAAUAUCCCACUCAUAUAGCAUUAGGUUGCACUAUCAACUACUACCUAACUAGUUUAUGCAUCACUAAUCUAUGGUUAUUUUGAUUAUAAUACUAAUUCCAUAACCAGAUCCAACAUUGUUCAUAAUUUAACACCACUCAAACACAUGGUUUAAAAUAAAAUUUCAGGAGGGAUAUCUUUUAAACAUCAUAAUCGAUUUUGAAUCAUUCAAAACUUGACUUGACUAAGAUUCCCUAUUUUUCUCCUAUUUAAACCCAAUAAACCUAUAAAAAAAACUAAACACAAGUAACACCCUAGACAUGUCGGUUCUACUAUGAUAGCACACUCGAGGAAAAAAAACGACAAUAAAAAACCCCGAGUGAUGGUAUACCCCACUCCCAAUUUUGAGAUGAUACACUAUCCUUGGUGUAUAACUAUGAAAAGUAUAAGAUCAAGGGAGUUAAGAUAUACUUUCAAUGCUCUAAGCGCCAGAUGUGGACUCACCCACAGUUAGGGUAUUUGGAGGCACCCUAGGCUCCAAGAUAGAUAGUGCUAGCUGCUGAUAGGAUGAUACUUAUAAUCUUAUCAACAUAAUACUCAAUCUGGAAUUCCUAGGUCACCAUCCUUAGGUCCUUCUCAAACUCAUCAUAACUCACACUAUGGCCUUCAGGGCUCGGUAUUCUCUUUCCCAUAUUAGUAGCGGCUUUAUCAUCCUUGAAAUAAUUAAACACCAACGUUGGCGAUGUGGGAAUCAAGUAGGGAAUAGAUGGCAAAUCAAGAUUUUUUAUAGACACUAACGCUCUGACCUCUAUCCUCAAUGUAGCCACCUCCUCCCUCAAGUUGGAAAAAUCUAGAAUGUGAAACUCACACAAUUGGUCAUUCGGGCCUCUACCCAUGCCUCAGAUGUCUUAAUUGAAGUUUAGACCAAUGGAUUUUUUAGGUUUACAACUUGGCCAAUUGGGUAUCAGUAUACAUUUUCCUCCCAACUAACUGCUACAAAAAAUCAUAUGACACUAAAAUCAUACCCAAAGUAGGUGGACAUAGAGGUACGAUAGAAGUUGAUGGUAGAACUAUGAUGCCUGCUUUCCUUUCACUACCCAUGAGAAAUGUGCUCUCGGGAGGUGAUCUUAAAAAAUCUAUCUCAAUGCCCAAUGUUGGGUGUCCACCUGCUCAGUCACCUGAAAUAGGGUUGCUCCAAGUGAAAUAGACGGUUGUGUUUUUCUUUGGAAAACUGGGUUUGUAUCAUCACAAAUUUACCCCAUAUUCGCUACAAGAGUCAUCUCUUAUUCAUGAUCAACACCUAGUAAUAUCAUGUUUCCUAUAAUAUCGUAUAACGUUUGGACCAAGCAAGGAAAUAAGAUACUAGUGGUCUUUGAAAGCUCUCUCAUGGAUCUCAUCAAUGAUGUUCAGGCAAAAUUUAUGACAUAUCUACCAAAAUGCUCGCUACCAGUACAGUGCAUUCAAGGGUAAGUGAAUUAUUUUCUCUUGUUCCAAUUGGUUCCACAUAAUGGACCACUAAAACUUACCAACAAAGUGCAAGGAUAACUUCUUGAUCUCCAUUUUUCUGCAACCCAUGUAGCAUCAACCUCGUUUUAAUAAUGUAGCUUGCAGCCCAACUUAAUAACUAUCGUUUCUACUCUAAAUCUUUUAUUUUUAUUUUAUUUUUCACCAUCUCAGUGUAGUUAUCAAUCUCUGUUAUCAUAUGCUCACAAAAACCUUAUGUCCAGGCCCAAAUAAGAUACACUAAAUUGUAUGCUCAGAGAUAUCAACUCGUGUACCUCGAACCAAUAUAUUGGAAAAUGGAGUUUGGUCCUUAGAUUAUUGACCCUUAGGUGUGAUCAAGUCUAAUAAAGUGUCAUAAGAGUCAUAGAACUCAUGCACUAACUUCAGACUAUAGCUCUCUGAUGGCUCCCUAUCCAACCAAACUUAUAUCGAUCAAAUAAUGACUCUAUCUCUGGAAUCCCAGCCAAAUCAGUGUUUGAAUAAUGGGGUUACUAUAUAAUAUUUCUCUUGAAUAAACCUCUGCUCGGCAUCCCUAUUAUAGAUCAAUUUAAUAUAUUGAACAGAACACCUUUAAUUUUCUCAGACUAUGGCUGACUGAGCCUUUUGCUCAGCUAAGGGAAACGUCGAAGUGUUUGUGGAACUUUGUAUCCUGAUUCCAGAAUUAGAGAAAGCAACAGUGUUCUUCUCACUAUCACCAGACUUAGAUUAUUCCUCUCUUUCUUCAUAAUAGAAAGAGAUAUCUGCCUACAUCGUAGGUGCCGGUCGAACUCAUGACUAAGGUUAUGGGGUAACAUGUGGUGUGUCCUGAGUUGCAUCUUUCUUUUUUGUUCAUUCUAUUAUACGAUGAGGCACAAGUGGGGUGUCAUUUUGCUCGAUCUCAUAUUCCUCCUCAGUCCUACUUUUCUCUUAUUCAAAAGACUCAUCUCAGAGUCUAGAUUUGGGUUCUUAAGCUUUAGCCUUUCUUUGGAUAUGAAGGACAGAUCACCUCAUUUUUUGUUACCUUUGGGUGGAAUUAUACUAGUGUAUAAAGAAAUUAGCACGCAAAUAAAAAACUAGGAACCAAGAAUAUUUAACUUAAGGUAUGAAGUUCACGAGUCAAGUAUAGGAUUUGUAAACUGGGUCCAUGACUCGUGGAACCCACUCAUGAACUUUAAAUAAAAAACUAAGUUAUAGGAGUUUGAAGUUCUGACUCCCACGAUUCCCAUUCACGAAUUAUCAAGAAAGUUCACUAUCCGUAGGUACAAUCGUGAGACUUGAACAUAGUAUCCACCAUUUUUUAGCAUCACAUAGUCAUACUCACCAUUUGAGCAUGCCAACCAUUGCAAUUGGGAAUUAUUAUUAAAAUUAGAUUCUUACUUAAACAUAAAUACUUGAAUACCUUUAUUCUAAUAAGUGUUAGAAUAGCACAAUACCAUCCUCAGUUCUAUAUGGGUUUUAAAGUUAAAUCAUAGCAAAUACUAAAGAAACAUAAGUUAAUACCUUGAAAGAGAUUUUAACUUCAAGUAAUCAACACUAGACUUCAACCCAACUUUCUUACUUCUACAGAGUAGUCGAGUUUGUAUCACAUGAGUGUGGGUUCGUGUAUCUGCUAUGGGAGUUUGAAUUAGAGUUAUGGGAGUUUGAAUUAGGGUUUUGGUGAUUUAGGGUUUUGGAUUUUGGAUUUUUGAUUUUGUU
RNAcentral lists this long non-coding RNA (4908 nucleotides) under Capsicum annuum. RNAcentral describes it as "long non-coding RNA (CANN_LNC010965)". The record is from RNAcentral. Lineage: Eukaryota; Viridiplantae; Streptophyta; Magnoliopsida; Solanales; Solanaceae.